Molecule: small nuclear RNA, 102 nt
Filed under: Cebus imitator (Panamanian white-faced capuchin)
Lineage: Eukaryota; Metazoa; Chordata; Mammalia; Primates; Cebidae
Source: RNAcentral
CUGCUUUGGCAGCACACAUGUUAAAAUGGGAAUGAUACAGAAAGAUUAGCAUGGCCCCUGCUCAAGGAUGACACGCAAAUUCGUGAAAUGUUCCAUAUUUUU